This is a long non-coding RNA of Lemur catta (Ring-tailed lemur), 767 nucleotides long. RefSeq lists it as uncharacterized. The record is from RefSeq and is a predicted model, not a curated record. The transcript is spliced from 3 exons. NCBI's taxonomy places the organism in Eukaryota, Metazoa, Chordata, Mammalia, Primates, Lemuridae.
GCCCGGCACUCCCAGGACUCCGCAGCUGUACCUCGGAGAAGCGCGCGGCGCCCGCGAAACCGCCGCUCUGCCAACCGCCGCUCGGCCGGCCCUAACGUACCUACAGCCGCGCCGCGCCCGCAGCAGCUCCGCCCACAACCGAUUCGAACCGCAACCGCCGCGCACAAUGGUAAUCCAGCCGGGACCGGCUGAGGCCCAGACCCAACAAGGCCUUCCAUGAAACCAGUCCCUGGUGCCAAAAAGGUUGGGGACCACUGGUUUAGAGGACCGGGAGCAGAAGGCCCGGAGGAAGAAGAGGAGAAGCUUCUGUAAACAUGUGGAAAGGAACUGAGCCCCCACCUCCUUACCCUGGCUGAGUUCCCAGCUGGUAACUGACCCUAAAUGACCAGCCUUGUCAAUGAGCCACGGCAGAAAGGGUCCUCGAGUCCCGGGUCGAACUACCCCAGCUGAUGCCGUGUGGAGCAGAGACAAGCUGUCACUGCCAAACGUUGCCCAAAUUGCAGAUAUCGGAGCUAAAUAAAUGACUAUUGUUUUAACCCACUAAGUUUUGUGGUAGUUUGUUAUUCGGUAAUAAUGACUGGAUCAGUUAGCCAGAUAAAAAGAGUGGGCACAGGGUGGGGACUCCAGGCCAAAAAGAAUUCUAAUAUCUGCCACAGGUCGACCAUACCAUAUUCAAGAUCUUUAGGGUGGCCUGUACUUCAGAACUCAAAAUUUUUAACUUUUGAGUGAUAAUACAGUAUCUGUACUGGUAAGGAAGACCCCCAUCU